RNAcentral lists this ribosomal RNA (660 nucleotides) under uncultured fungus. RNAcentral's name for it is "eukaryotic LSU rRNA". The stretch from base 205 to 358 matches the Rfam family "5.8S ribosomal RNA". Lineage: Eukaryota; Fungi. The record is from RNAcentral.
UCCGUAGGUGAACCUGCGGAAGGAUCAUUAAUGUAUAUUGAAUUUUAUAUUCUUUAUCAACCCACACUGUGUACCUUUUUACUGUUGCUUCCAUGGGACUUGGCUCUGCCACGUCGGCCUUAUGGCUGGUGAGCGCCCAUGGGAGGAAAACAAAACUCUUUGUUACAAUUGAAGUCUGUCUGAAUUGUUUAUAUUAAACGUUAAAACUUUCAACAACGGAUCUCUUGGUUCCCGCAUCGAUGAAGAACGCAGCGAAACGCGAUAGUUAAUGUGAAUUGCAGAAUUCAGUGAAUCAUCGAGUCUUUGAACGCACAUUGCGCCUUUUGGUAUUCCGAGAGGCACGUCUGUUUGAGCGUCAGCAAAACCCUCCGGCCCCCGGUUUUUCCGCGGGGCACGGGCCAGCUGGCGCGGGGACUGGCCGCCGCGCUCAGGCGCGGGCGGGCCUUCCCCCGCUUAAAGGUGUGGAAGUUAGCGGGGUGCGCCCCGGAUCGCGACGACUCGUAAGCACUUACCGUCGGAAGCGUCCGGGACAUGCCCCCCGCCUCACAACAUGAGUGGCCCUCGCGGGGCCCUCCGAACCCUUGACCUCAGGAUCAGGGACGGAGGGGGAUACCCGGGCCUGGAACUUAAGGCAUAUCAAUAAGGCGGGGGAGGGGAAGG